GGCUCUGUAGCUCAGUUGGUAGAGCGUUCGACUGAAAAUCGAAAGGUCACCGGAUCGAUGCCGGUCGGAGCCACCUUGU
Molecule: transfer RNA, 79 nt
Filed under: Leifsonia xyli subsp. xyli str. CTCB07
Lineage: Bacteria; Bacillati; Actinomycetota; Actinomycetes; Micrococcales; Microbacteriaceae
Description: tRNA-Phe
Rfam family: tRNA
About the family: Transfer RNA (tRNA) molecules are approximately 80 nucleotides in length. Their secondary structure includes four short double-helical elements and three loops (D, anti-codon, and T loops).
Source: RNAcentral